UUUAUCUCUUCAUUAUAUUGAUUUUUUAGCAGAAGGACAAUUUAAUUAUAAAGAUUUAAGUAAGCAGCAGAUGAAGGUUAAAGAAGCUUCAACUUUAUCAGACAAAUUCCCUUACAUCUGACAAUGGAAGCUCGGUGGAGGAAACAGACAGCUCAUAAUCCUCUUGUUUAUUCUCUGGCAAUGGGAUAAAUAUUGGCUGCUCGUUAGGAUUACCAUCGCCAACACCGGUUUGAAUCUUAUCGCCCUCCACACGAUGCAGAUUAUCCUGCCCAGUGAGACUGUACUCUGGCUGAUUCUGUGCGUGAUUCACUGUGACAUCGUGAAGAGAUGGAUAGUUCUCGGUGGUGCUGACAAUGGUGGACGGGUAAUUCUCGGGAGUAUAGUCGUUCAAGCUCGACGAUGAAUCCAGUUGACGAAGAAUACUCGACUCUGGCCUGGUCGGUUGGAUGAACCCGUUUGACGUAGGGGAAUUCGAAUCGCCUUGGGGUACAGUAUCAUACGAUUGCUCGGUCUGCGGGCUCUGAGCGUGUCCGAGAACCUAUUGACAUUGGAAUAGUAUUUGUGUGCAAAUUGUUGAAGUUGGAAUGCUGGCGGCAAGGAGAGCUGCGGAAGUUGAGGUAGCUGCGCGCUUCCGCUCGCCAAGGGUGCCGCAGCUGGGUUAUUUUGUUCGAGUUGAGUUUGCGUCGCCCUAGGAUUCGCUAACGGUAUCCAUUCGCUGUUUGACACUUGUCGCGACCAUCUUUCGGCUUGUACAACGUCGAAUUUUACCGACAGUAUCAAACAGGUCGAUACCGUUAAUGCUAAACACCUCCGC
Molecule: unclassified non-coding RNA, 814 nt
Filed under: Bombus terrestris (buff-tailed bumblebee)
Lineage: Eukaryota; Metazoa; Arthropoda; Insecta; Hymenoptera; Apidae
Description: misc RNA ENSBTSG00005038964.1
Source: RNAcentral